Non-coding RNA from Cinara cedri, 315 nucleotides. The record is from the annotation of a GenBank genome assembly. NCBI's taxonomy places the organism in Eukaryota, Metazoa, Arthropoda, Insecta, Hemiptera, Aphididae.
CGCAGCGUCGCCCGUCUCCAGAACGAUAGGUUAAGUCAUAUGUUAAAGUUAAGUUGUUUAUAUGUGCUAUUGAUUGUUUCUUGUCACUUGUUGUUAGCCUGCCCCGCUUAGGGGUAAACAGGCCUUUUGUUUUGCGGCAUAGUCGCGUAUUUGUAAAAUUUCGUUAAUAAACGAUAGCGGCCAGUGCACCCAAAGCAAUUCCUAACGGUGGUUCUGGGUGUACUGGAGUAUUGCUGAUUGAAAAAAAAAAAAAAAAAGUUAUAUAAAGUACCAACUAAAAGUAAUAUUUCAUAUUAUGGAAAAUUUUUACCACCA